RNAcentral lists this ribosomal RNA (495 nucleotides) under uncultured bacterium. RNAcentral's name for it is "partial 16S ribosomal RNA". It matches the Rfam family "Bacterial small subunit ribosomal RNA", at positions 28 to 507 of the family's 1533-position model. The record is from RNAcentral.
GACGAACGCUGGCGGCGUGCCUAAUACAUGCAAGUAGAACGCUGAAGGAGGAGCUUGCUUCUCUGGAUGAGUUGCGAACGGGUGAGUAACGCGUAGGUAACCUGCCUGGUAGCGGGGGAUAACUAUUGGAAACGAUAGCUAAUACCGCAUAAGAGUAGAUGUUGCAUGACAUUUGCUUAAAAGGUGCAAUUGCAUCACUACCAGAUGGACCUGCGUUGUAUUAGCUAGUUGGUGAGGUAACGGCUCACCAAGGCGACGAUACAUAGCCGACCUGAGAGGGGGAUCGGCCACACUGGGACUGAGACACGGCCCAGACUCCUACGGGAGGCAGCAGUAGGGAAUCUUCGGCAAUGGACGGAAGUCUGACCGAGCAACGCCGCGUGAGUGCAGAAGGUUUUCGGAUCGUAAAGCUCUGUUGUAAGAGAAGAACGAGUGUGAGAGUGGAAAGUUCACACUGUGACGGUAUCUUACCAGAAAGGGACGGCUAACUACGUG